GCAUAUCAAUAAGCGGAGGAAAAGAAACCAACAGGGAUUGCCCUAGUAACGGCGAGUGAAGCGGCAACAGCUCAAAUUUGAAAUCUGGCUUCGGCCCGAGUUGUAAUUUGCAGAGGAAGCUUUAGGCGCGGCACCUUCUGAGUCCCCUGGAACGGGGCGCCAUAGAGGGUGAGAGCCCCGUAUAGUUGGAUGCCUAGCCUGUGUAAAGCUCCUUCGACGAGUCGAGUAGUUUGGGAAUGCUGCUCAAAAUGGGAGGUAAAUUUCUUCUAAAGCUAAAUACCGGCCAGAGACCGAUAGCGCACAAGUAGAGUGAUCGAAAGAUGAAAAGCACUUUGAAAAGAGGGUUAAAUAGCACGUGAAAUUGUUGAAAGGGAAGCGCUUGUGACCAGACUUGCGCCGGGCUGAUCAUCCGGUGUUCUCACCGGUGCACUCUGCCCGGCUCAGGCCAGCAUCGGUUCUCGCGGGGGGAUAAAGGCCCAGGGAAUGUAGCUCCUCCGGGAGUGUUAUAGCCCGGGGCGGAAUGCCCUCGCGGGGACCGAGGUUCGCGCAUCUGCAAGGAUGCUGGCGUAAUGGUCAUCAGCGACCCGUCUUGAAACACGGACCAAGGAGUCAAGGUUUUGCGCGAGUGUUUGGGUGUAAAACCCGCACGCGUAAUGAAAGUGAACGUAGGUGAGAGCUUCGGCGCAUCAUCGACCGAUCCUGAUGUUUUCGGAUGGAUUUGAGUAAGAGCGUUAAGCCUUGGACCCGAAAGAUGGUGAACUAUGCUUGGAUAGGGUGAAGCCAGAGGAAACUCUGGUGGAGGCUCGCAGCGGUUCUGACGUGCAAAUCGAUCGUCAAAUCUGAGCAUGGGGCGAAAGACUAUCGACCAUCUAGUAGCUGUACGCGA
Molecule: ribosomal RNA, 886 nt
Filed under: Amesomyces cymbiformis
Lineage: Eukaryota; Fungi; Ascomycota; Sordariomycetes; Sordariales; Chaetomiaceae
Description: LSU rRNA
Rfam family: Eukaryotic large subunit ribosomal RNA
Source: RNAcentral